GCCAGACUCCUACGGGAGGCAGCAGUGGGGAAUAUUGCACAAUGGGGGAAACCCUGAUGCAGCAACGCCGCGUGAGUGAAGAAGUAUUUCGGUAUGUAAAGCUCUAUCAGCAGGGAAGAAGAAGGACGGUACCUGACUAAGAAGCCCCGGCUAACUACGUGCCAGCAGCCGCGGUAAUACGUAGGGGGCGAGCGUUAUCCGGAUUUACUGGGUGUAAAGGGAGCGUAGACGGUUAAUCAAGUCUGAAGUGAAAGCCCGCGGCUCAACUGCGGAACGGCUUUGGAAACUGAGUAACUGGAGUGCUGGAGGGGCAGGCGGAAUUCCUGGUGUAGCGGUGAAAUGCGUAGAUAUCAGGAGGAACACCGGUGGCGAAGGCGGCCUGCUGGACAGUAACUGACGUUGAGGCUCGAAAGCGUGGGGAGCAAACAGGAUUAGAUACCCGGGUACAC
Molecule: ribosomal RNA, 449 nt
Filed under: uncultured bacterium
Lineage: Bacteria
Description: bacterial SSU rRNA
Rfam family: Bacterial small subunit ribosomal RNA
Source: RNAcentral